This 332-nucleotide ribosomal RNA is filed under the name uncultured Anaerolineaceae bacterium. RNAcentral describes it as "bacterial SSU rRNA". It matches the Rfam family "Bacterial small subunit ribosomal RNA", at positions 1036 to 1382 of the family's 1533-position model. Lineage: Bacteria; Bacillati; Chloroflexota; Anaerolineae; Anaerolineales; Anaerolineaceae. The record is from RNAcentral.
AGUGCUGCAUGGCUGUCGUCAGCUCGUGUCGUGAGAUGUUCGGUUAAGUCCGCUAACGAGCGCAACCCUCACUGUGUGUUACAAGUGUCACACGGGACUGCCGGUUUUUAAGCCGGAGGAAGGUGAGGAUGACGUCAAGUCAGCAUGGCCUUUAUGUCCUGGGCUACACACACGCUACAAUGGUCGGUACAACAGGUUGCCAAGCCGCGAGGCGGAGCCAAUCCCUAAAGCCGGCCUCAGUUCAGAUUGUAGGCUGCAACUCGCCUGCAUGAAGCUGGAGUUGCUAGUAACCGCAGGUCAGCUAUACUGCGGUGAAUACGUUCCCGGGUCUU